Molecule: small RNA, 1001 nt
Filed under: Histoplasma capsulatum
Lineage: Eukaryota; Fungi; Ascomycota; Eurotiomycetes; Onygenales; Ajellomycetaceae
Also listed under: 1 other name
Description: hypothetical RNA
Source: RNAcentral
ACAUUGCCUGAAUACUAAGCGGUGGAUUUGACGGAUUUGACACAAAAGAUUAACUAGAAAAUUACAUUCCUGAAAAUUCCUCAAUUACUCUUUUCCUUCUUCAUCUUCAGAGCUGACAUGUUAGCCUAGUCUGCGCAUUCAGCGUGCAGCCUCGAGGCCUGCGCCGCUUCCGUCGUAUUUUGAAGUGGAUGGUUUAUUUGCCUCCAAGACAUGCUUGACCCUGUCGUCAUCGGAGACAAUCGCUGAAUAAAUGCCAGACCAGCUUUCUCCCUCUCGGGCCAUCCCGUCCAUCAAAUUCAUCAACUUCGUUUUGGGGUUGUUUUGCUCCUCCCGAGCUGCGCUGCACUGUCCCUUGCUUUACGGGUAAUUCCAUCUGCAAGCCGUUCCUUUUCAUAACGCAUACUGCCCAGUCGGUACUCCAAGUUUUAGAGGUAUUGUUGCAUGUCGCCAAUGGUCUUCUCCGUGGCAGCGUUCCGCUGUUUCCAAUAUUCAAGCUCUUCUGUCAGUGAACGAAUCUUAGCAUCACGUAACCGGAGCUCUGCUCUGCACGUCCUUUUCCCUUGACUUCCCCUCGUUCUCUUCUUUCGUCAAUUCCACAUGUCGUACAGCAACGUUCCUUUUCAUAUCUGAAUCGGUUACCGGAAAGCUCCUCGAGGUGUUUCCUCAGGUUUUCCUGCAGCUCUGCUACCUCACUACAAUGCAAUUGUUCUAGACGCUCAAUCGUUGCGGCAUGACCCUCCAUUCAAUGGAUAGUACAGGUGAGGUGGGCUCAUGGCAGGUGCGGGAUUAGACAAUCUGUAGGAAGCACAAUGCGCGGGUAGGCCUUUAAUGGCAAUGGCAGAUAGUCAAACAAACACAUUUACCAAAAAUUCGACGUGGUCCAUCAAUAGUUACGAGGGUCAUACAUUAAUAGAGCACAGGAUCACCCGUAGAUUUUUUUCCAGCCAAACAUUUUUGUCAUUCUUUGAACCAGUUAGAAUAUGCUAUUUCGUAUGGGUAAG